AGUUGAUGUGAUGAUAAUCUUCCACAGAAAAUCACAUUUAGUGUUGACCUAAUUACAGACUACAAUUUUCUGAUCAACU
This 79-nucleotide small nucleolar RNA is filed under the name Triticum dicoccoides. RNAcentral's name for it is "snoRNA snoZ155". It matches the Rfam family "Small nucleolar RNA Z155". From Rfam's summary of the family: Z155 is a member of the C/D class of snoRNA which contain the C (UGAUGA) and D (CUGA) box motifs. Most of the members of the box C/D family function in directing site-specific 2'-O-methylation of substrate RNAs. The record is from RNAcentral. Lineage: Eukaryota; Viridiplantae; Streptophyta; Magnoliopsida; Poales; Poaceae.